CUUGGUGUCCCAGAUGGAGCUGGGGCUCCAGGGGCCCAGGGGGUGGCUCUGAUACCUAGGGAAAGGCACUGAGGAGGUGUCUGCCACUGGGCAGGGGCGUGUGAUCCAGGUCCGUUGGGGCAACGAGCCCAGCCUGAGUCCUGCGGGGCCCUAGGU
This is a long non-coding RNA of Gopherus evgoodei (Goodes thornscrub tortoise), 156 nucleotides long. RefSeq lists it as uncharacterized. Lineage: Eukaryota; Metazoa; Chordata; Testudines; Testudinidae. The transcript is spliced from 3 exons. The record is from RefSeq and is a predicted model, not a curated record.